GGAAUAUUGCGCAAUGGGGGAAACCCUGACGCAGCGACGCCGCGUGGGUGAUGAAGGCCUUCGGGCCGUAAAGCCCUGCCGUAGGGGAAGAAUCGGCGGACGGAGAAUCCCCGGCCAUCUUGACGGUACCCUACAAGAAAGCACCGGCUAACUCUGUGCCAGCAGCCGCGGUAAUACGGAGGGUGCAAGCGUUGUUCGGAAUUACUGGACGUAAAGCGCGUGCAGGCGGCCGAUUAAGUCCGGUGUGAAAGCCCGGGGCUCACCCCCGGAAGUGCGCUGGAUACUGGUCGGCUAGAGUACGGGAGAGGGAAGCGGAAUUCCUGGUGUAGCGGUGAAAUGCGUAGAUAUCAGGAGGAACACCGGCGGCGAAGGCGGCUUCCUGGACCGAUACUGACGCUGAGACGCGAAAGCGUGGGGAGCAAA
This 423-nucleotide ribosomal RNA is filed under the name uncultured bacterium. RNAcentral's name for it is "bacterial SSU rRNA". It matches the Rfam family "Bacterial small subunit ribosomal RNA", at positions 358 to 772 of the family's 1533-position model. The record is from RNAcentral.